This 251-nucleotide ribosomal RNA is filed under the name uncultured bacterium. RNAcentral's name for it is "partial 16S ribosomal RNA". It matches the Rfam family "Bacterial small subunit ribosomal RNA", at positions 524 to 776 of the family's 1533-position model. The record is from RNAcentral.
GACAUAGGUGGCGAACGUUAUCCGGAAUUAUUGGGCGUAAAGGAUGCGUAGAUGGCAGAAUAAGUUAUUGGUCGAUGCCAAACUCAAUUUGGCGGAAGCUAGUAAUACUGUUCUGCUAGAGGGCAGGAGAGGUUGAUGGAAUUCUGUGUGGAGCGGUGAAAUGCGUAGAGAUCGGCAGGAACACCCAGGGGGAAACCAGCCGACUGGGCAUCUACUGACGCUGAGGUGCGAGAGCGUGGGGAGCGAACCGG